UAGGGAAUCUUCGGCAAUGGGGGCAACCCUGACCGAGCAACGCCGCGUGAGUGAAGAAGGUUUUCGGAUCGUAAAGCUCUGUUGUAAGUCAAGAACGGGUGUGAGAGUGGAAAGUUCACACUGUGACGGUAGCUUACCAGAAAGGGACGGCUAACUACGUGCCAGCAGCCGCGGUAAUACGUAGGUCCCGAGCGUUGUCCGGAUUUAUUGGGCGUAAAGCGAGCGCAGGCGGUUUGAUAAGUCUGAAGUUAAAGGCUGUGGCUCAACCAUAGUUCGCUUUGGAAACUGUCAAACUUGAGUGCAGAAGGGGAGGGUGGAAUUCCAUGUGUAGCGGUGAAAUGUGUAGAUAUAUGGAGGAACACCGGUGGCGAAAGCGGCUCUCUGGUCUGUAACUGACGCUGAGGCUCGAAAGCGUGGGGAGCGAACAGG
This 429-nucleotide ribosomal RNA is filed under the name bacterium. Its description in RNAcentral is "partial 16S ribosomal RNA". It matches the Rfam family "Bacterial small subunit ribosomal RNA", at positions 355 to 776 of the family's 1533-position model. The record is from RNAcentral.